Herpailurus yagouaroundi (jaguarundi) is the source of this 660-nucleotide long non-coding RNA. RefSeq lists it as uncharacterized. The transcript has 3 exons. The record is from RefSeq and is a predicted model, not a curated record. Lineage: Eukaryota; Metazoa; Chordata; Mammalia; Carnivora; Felidae.
UGAUCUAGGGGGACGAGCCCGCAGCUCUAAGAACGGGUAUAAAAACCGUAAAAGUCCUGAGACAAUCCUGAAGUCUGCAGGGUGAGGGACCAGACCUUGGAUCCUGGGGGCAGGGACUGGGUGUUAGGGAUGGGCCUGAAAGUCCUCAGUUACUACGAGAAACAGGGGCGGAGCCUAAACGUUCAGAGGGCGGGACCUCCCUCUCUCUUCCACGCGGAGAUGGAGCUUGUAAUAGACGGCGCUGGGCCCUAAGGGCCUGGCAGUUACCAUUCUGUUUCCAUGAGUUCAGCUGUUUCAAGUUCCACAUGUAAUCUCAUGAAGCAAAGCCAGGAUAUCCUUUGAAUGGAUAUUCUUCUCAGUCUAGCCCGAUCUGUCUUACAGUUAGUGAUGAACACCUAAAGCCAGACUCAAGAAAGAAUUAUUAGUGAAGUUUAACAUCAAAGAGCAUGCAUUCACAAGUGAAUACAACAAAGUUAUGUAUUGCAAACACUGUUUAUAAUAGCCAAAGAAUGGAACUUUCCAAAUACCCAUCAACAGGGGACGACAGUAUAUCCAUGCACUGAAAUACUGUCCACAGGAAAAACAGCCACUGGAUUUUAGAGACUGGUGUGAAAAAAGAAUGUAAAAUAUCUCAAUAAAUUUGUUUAUUACAUAUGGAAA